Molecule: long non-coding RNA, 2456 nt
Organism: Brassica rapa (field mustard)
Lineage: Eukaryota; Viridiplantae; Streptophyta; Magnoliopsida; Brassicales; Brassicaceae
Source: RefSeq, a predicted model, not a curated record
AUAUAUAUUGCAUAGAACUUAAAUGUGAUUUUAAAUAUAAUAUCACUAAAUCUCAUCAAAAACAUAUUAAGUGUUAAGAAAAUAUAAAGAUAAUUUCAUUGUGAAUAUAAAACAAAUAAUAUAAUUAUAGGAUCUCAUUUAUAUAAAAUAUAUAUACAUAUAAAUUAUUAAUUUAUAAUUUUAAUGGACCAUAUAUUUAUAUAGAAUAUUCUAAAAAAAUAGUAUCUUAUCAUUUUAUCGAUUUGCGUCAAAUUUUGAACCGACCCAAGUUGGGACCGGCGAAAUUUAUUAAUUUACAGAGAUUAUUAAUUUAUCGAGUAUUAAUUUAUAGAGGUUCUACUGUGUUUCUUAAUCCUAGUAUGUUACUUAGUAAACGUUUCCCCCAUUUCGUUAUUAGCGACAUGGCAGUCGUUUUGGUUAUCUUUGAGGUUUUGUAUCAUGUAAGGAAUUACACCUUUAUCAUAUCUGACUUCAAGUAACUCAUCAAUCGCUAGUUUUUCUGGACAGGGAGUUUCGAAAAAAUUGAUUUCGCCGAGUUUAAGUGCAUUUAAAAACAUUGAUAUUUCAACUUAGCUAUCCCAUUUAACACGUUUUAAACCCUUUGCAAAGAAAAUCUCACCUAAUUUCUAGGGUUUGUUCGGGUUUACUAUUACUCUCCAUCUUAUCUUCUUAUUCUCUUGAUCACUAGUCAUAAGAAAAGGUGAUUACUAGAGUGUUUAACUGGAAAAUGUCAGCUUUGUUGAAGAAGACUUUGGUGGAAAACGAUUUGGAGGAUAUUCUGAGUAGGUGUUCACACCUUCAAUAUGUGGUCACAGGCAAUGAAAUGAUGGUUCGAAAAACAACUGAUGGAUUAUUUGCCAUUUCUGGAGAUUUAGAUUCAAAUGUGGAACAUCCCUUUGAACCAUUACAUCCAAUAAUCUAUCACUUCUUUGGUGGAGUUUUCUUUUCAAGUUAUUGUUGUUGCUUUGGCCCAGAAAAGACGCAAACUAAAAGACUAUGUUAGGGUAAUUAAAAGUCAUGAUUGACAUUUCUUAACUGUUGAGGAGAUCUGAGAAUGUCAACCUUCCAAGUGUUCAUAAUCCUUUGUGACUACAAAAUGAUUCAGAAGAGAUGUUACUCAUUCCAACGGUUAACACACGAGCAGAAUAUGUUCCCUCUUAUAAAGUUAAGAAAGAAGCUGCAUGUUGGUAGUGCAAGUUCUAAAGAUUCAAAACAUAAAAUAACAGAAGAAUGCAUCAUCAAAGAAAAAAAUCCUCAGUUUGGAGUAGUGAAAGUGUUUCAGGUGGGAUCAAUCUAAUAACAUGCAUACCGAUAAUGCCAACAUAGAUGCUUCAAGGAAUGAAAGAGUACCUGAUGGUUGCUGAUAGAGCUGAAAGAUAGCUAGACAAGAAAGGAUAAAACAAUUCAUAUUGGAACUGGAAAAUGAUUACAUCGGUCAGAAAACGAUGUUACGGCUUGAACCUUUUCCAUUAAGUACUCCAAUGCUGGAUAAGGGUAAAGGAGUGGUCUUUGAAUUUUAACAUAAACAUAUUCUGAAUAAGAAGGAUGAGAGUAUGCUCAGAAACAAGUUAACGGGAGAGUGACAAAAGCGGGAAUGACUCUGACCAUGAACCCAAUUAUUGGCUGUUUAUAGACUGAGACAGAAGUGUAUUCGAAUAAUGUUUUAGUGGUUUUUGUUCCCAACGGAUUUCUGCAUUGGUGUUGAUGACACAAGUGUGUUCCAGACAAAUUAUAAUAUUAAGCCAAAUAAACUUCUAAGUACAUACAAAACAAAUAUAAAGAACGUCAUCAUGGAGGAAGACUAACAAAAGAUAGAGAAAAAAAAUGUGGAACAAGAAGAGUCUGGUGCAGAAAAAGAUAGGUGUUUGAAGAUAUGGAGACAUCCCAAAACUCUUCAAGAUGUAAGAAACCAUUGGUAUUCCAAAGUGAGGGACCGUUCAAACUUUAGAUGACAAUGCUCAGUUGAAUUGUCAAGAUUUGGGCAGGGCACAAGACUUGGUGAUUCCAAGACUCAGAAAGAUGAGAAAUAAAUCUUCCCUGAUAUUAUGUUCUUGUUGGAAACAAAACAAUAUCGUGACGUUUUUGUUGGGAUAUUAUAGAGUUAUGACAGUAAGCCUUUGUUGAUUUGAGUAACGAUUUGGCAGUAUUUUGGAGGAAUUCUCUUGAUGUAGAUAUAAAUAUGUGGAUAAGAAUUUCAUCGACUUUGGUGUACAGCGGAUAAUAACUAUUUUUUUCUAGUGUAUACGGUGAACCACUAAGAAAAGACAAAUCCAAAUAUGCGGAAGACUCACCAAAAGCAGCAUUCAGAGACAUCAGCCAUGAUCUUAAUGAAAGAAAAAAAAUAAUGGAGAAAAUUGGGAGCAAAACCGUGCGAACCUUUGUAGCUGCCAUAAGAAAUAAAACAAAUUCAUAAAAACUUCUAAUAAAAAAUAACAACACCUAUUAAAUUAAACUAA